GAUGAACGCUGGCGGCGUGCCUAAUACAUGCAAGUCGAGCGAACAGACGAGGAGCUUGCUCCUCUGACGUUAGCGGCGGACGGGUGAGUAACACGUGGAUAACCUACCUAUAAGACUGGGAUAACUUCGGGAAACCGGAGCUAAUACCGGAUAAUAUAUUGAACCGCAUGGUUCAAUAGUGAAAGACGGUUUUGCUGUCACUUAUAGAUGGAUCCGCGCCGCAUUAGCUAGUUGGUAAGGUAACGGCUUACCAAGGCAACGAUGCGUAGCCGACCUGAGAGGGUGAUCGGCCACACUGGAACUGAGCCACGGUCCAGACUCCUACGGGAGGCAGCAGUAGGGAAUCUUCCGCAAUGGGCGAAAGCCUGACGGAGCAACGCCGCGUGAGUGAUGAAGGUCUGCGGAUCGUAAAACUCUGUUAUUAGGGAAGAACAAAUGUGUAAGUAACUAUGCACGUCUUGACGGUACCUAAUCAGAAAGCCACGGCUAACUACGU
Molecule: ribosomal RNA, 496 nt
Filed under: uncultured bacterium
Lineage: Bacteria
Description: partial 16S ribosomal RNA
Rfam family: Bacterial small subunit ribosomal RNA
Source: RNAcentral